This 492-nucleotide ribosomal RNA is filed under the name uncultured Massilia sp. RNAcentral's name for it is "partial 16S ribosomal RNA". The record is from RNAcentral. Lineage: Bacteria; Pseudomonadati; Pseudomonadota; Betaproteobacteria; Burkholderiales; Oxalobacteraceae.
CACGUAGUUAGCCGGUGCUUAUUCUUCAGGUACCGUCAUUAGUCAAAGAUAUUAGCUCCGACCGUUUCUUCCCUGACAAAAGAGCUUUACAACCCGAAGGCCUUCUUCACUCACGCGGCAUUGCUGGAUCAGGCUUGCGCCCAUUGUCCAAAAUUCCCCACUGCUGCCUCCCGUAGGAGUCUGGACCGUGUCUCAGUUCCAGUGUGGCUGGUCGUCCUCUCAGACCAGCUACUGAUCGUCGCCUUGGUGAGCCUUUACCUCACCAACUAGCUAAUCAGAUAUCGGCCGCUCCAGGAGCAUGAGGUUCUUGCGAAUCCCCCCACUUUCAUCCAUAGAUCGUAUGCGGUAUUAGCGUAACUUUCGCUACGUUAUCCCCCACUCUUGGGUACGUUCCGAUAUAUUACUCACCCGUUCGCCACUCGCCGCCAGGUUGCCCCGCGCUGCCGUUCGACUUGCAUGUGUAAAGCAUGCCGCCAGCGUUCAAUCUGAGCC